Molecule: transfer RNA, 77 nt
Filed under: Chloroflexota bacterium
Lineage: Bacteria; Bacillati; Chloroflexota
Also listed under: 2 other names
Description: Chloroflexi bacterium tRNA-Pro
Rfam family: tRNA
About the family: Transfer RNA (tRNA) molecules are approximately 80 nucleotides in length. Their secondary structure includes four short double-helical elements and three loops (D, anti-codon, and T loops). Further hydrogen bonds mediate the characteristic L-shaped molecular structure. tRNAs have two regions of fundamental functional importance: the anti-codon, which is responsible for specific mRNA codon recognition, and the 3' end, to which the tRNAs corresponding amino acid is attached (by aminoacyl-tRNA synthetases). tRNAs cope with the degeneracy of the genetic code in two manners: having more than one tRNA (with a specific anti-codon) for a particular amino acid; and 'wobble' base-pairing, i.e. permitting non-standard base-pairing at the 3rd anti-codon position.
Source: RNAcentral
CGGGGCGUGGCGCAGCUCGGUAGCGCGUUGCACUGGGGGUGCAGAGGUCACAGGUUCAAAUCCUGUCGCCCCGACCA